Molecule: ribosomal RNA, 440 nt
Filed under: uncultured bacterium
Lineage: Bacteria
Description: partial 16S ribosomal RNA
Rfam family: Bacterial small subunit ribosomal RNA
Source: RNAcentral
CUACGGGGGGCAGCAGUGAGGAAUAUUGCACAAUGGGGGGAACCCUGAUGCAGCAACGCCGCGUGGAGGAUGACGCAUUUCGGUGUGUAAACUCCUUUUAUAUGUCAAGAAAAUGACGGUAGCAUAUGAAUAAGCACCGGCUAACUCCGUGCCAGCAGCCGCGGGUAAUACGGAGGGUGCAAGCGUUACUCGGAAUCACUGGGCGUAAAGGACGCGUAGGCGGGUUGGAAAGUCAGGUGUGAAAUCCUACAGCUUAACUGUGGAACUGCACUUGAAACUUCUAAUCUAGAGUAUGGGAGGGGAAGAUGGAAUUAGUGGUGUAGGGGUAAAAUCCGUAGAUAUCACUAGGAAUACCUAAAGCGAAGGCGAUCUCCUGGAACAUUACUGACGCUAAGGCGUGAAAGCGUGGGGAGCAAACAGGAUUAGAUACCCCUGUAGUC